CAGUCGCCACGGUAAUACGUAGGGUGCGAGCGUUAAUAGGAAUUACUGGGCGUAAAGCGUGCGCAGGCGGUUAUAUAAGACAGAUGUGAAAUCCCCGGGCUCAACCUGGGACCUGCAUUUGUGACUGUAUAGCUAGAGUACGGUAGAGGGGGAUGGAAUUCCGCGUGUAGCAGUGAAAUGCGUAGAUAUGCGGAGGAACACCGAUGGCGAAGGCAGUCCCCUGGACCUGUACUGACGCUCAUGCACGAAAGCGUGGGGAGCAAACAGGAUUAGAUACCCGCGUAGUCCCUGUCUCUUAUAC
RNAcentral lists this ribosomal RNA (301 nucleotides) under uncultured bacterium. RNAcentral describes it as "partial 16S ribosomal RNA". It matches the Rfam family "Bacterial small subunit ribosomal RNA", at positions 509 to 807 of the family's 1533-position model. The record is from RNAcentral.